RNAcentral lists this RNase P RNA (450 nucleotides) under Candidatus Omnitrophota bacterium. RNAcentral describes it as "RNase P RNA component class A". It matches the Rfam family "Bacterial RNase P class A". From Rfam's summary of the family: Ribonuclease P (RNase P) is a ubiquitous endoribonuclease, found in archaea, bacteria and eukarya as well as chloroplasts and mitochondria. The record is from RNAcentral. Lineage: Bacteria; Pseudomonadati; Candidatus Omnitrophota.
CGAGCAGGCAGGAUGGCUGCUCCGUUACAUCUGUAGCGGAGAGGAAAGUCCGGGCUCCAGAGGGCAGGCGUGCUGGGUAACUCCCAGGAUCCCGAGAAAUCGGGAUACGGAAAGUGCCACAGAAAAAAUACCGCCCUGAAUGUAGAAUUUUUAAUAAAUUUUUUGCAUUCAGGGUAAGGGUGAAAAGGCGGUGUAAAAGACCACCGCCCCGACGGUGACGUCGGGGGCAGGGUAAACCCCACGCGGAGCAAGACCGAAUAGGAGAGGAGCGGUGGCCCGUCGCGUAAAUACUCUCGGGUAGGUCGCUGGUCUCCGGUGGCAACAUCGGAGCAAGAGAAAUGGCUAUCGAAACACGAAUUGCCACGAAUUAUUAUAAAAUUCGCGGCAAUUUGGUUUUGAUUUGUGGUAAUUCGUGUUUUACAGAACCCGGCUUAUAUGCCUGCUCUUAAA